GAGUUGAAGUAGCUUUCCAGAGAUAGGGAACCACGGGUGAUGAACUGAGCUGAGAAGAAAGUUGAAAUUUUUGAGAAAGUGAAGAAAACCUUGGAUAGAGAACAAGAGAGAUGUGGGCACAAAAUUAGGCUGGAGUGGUCAGAUGGAGAGGGUGGUGUCAAAAAGAAGACAGAGUGAGCAGUCAGGAAGGCAGGAGGACAACCAAGAUUGGUCUCAAAAGCCAAGAGAAGUGUCUCACAAAUAAGAUCCAAAAAGGGUGUCAGCCCUAAUUGGGGAUAGAUCCCAGUGACCUGGGUAUGGUGGACACAACUGAAUAACGUGGGUGGAUGUCAAGUUGGAGUGGAGUAGAGUGAAAAAGUGGAGAGGUGAGUGUGGAUGGGAGGCGAGAGGUAAGCAGAGGAAGAUGUAGGACCAGGGACAUGCAUUUUAAAUUGGUAUAGACCAGAACAUUUUAGAUGAUGAUAGGAAGGAUUCUACAGAGAGGAGGCUGAAGAUACUGGAGAGAGAAGACCAUAAGGUUCCUGAAAGGCAGGAAGGGUUGGGAUACAGAGAACAAGUGGAGGCACAGCGUUUUGUUGGCUGGAUCGACGCAUUUCCCUUUCUAAUGGCAAGAAGGGGGAAAAGGAUGGGGGUACCUACAAGGUCAGUUAGAAGUUCUCGUGUUGGAAAGUGGGAGCAGUUCUUGGCCUGAUGAAUCUGAUCUCUCUGUGAAAAGCCCAUGUCAAGAGCUGAGAACGGGGCAAGGAGGAAGAGGCUGGAGAUUCGUGCGACAGGAGAAUGUUUAAAACAGUUUUCAAAAGUUCUCAGAGGGGGCAAAUGAGCUGCCUAAAGAGAUGUAAUAGAAGCACCAAGUAUUAUUGCUCAGGAGUGUGAAUCUAAAGCCAAUUGUAUAAUUUCUCUAAACCUUAGUUCUCUUAUCAGUUAAAUAGGGCCCUGCCUAAACCAGGCCCCAGACAACAGCAAUAACAAAUUAUUUCUGGAUGUAGCCACCAUGAAGAGUCAGUAAAAGCUGCCUUCUUUUAGUGUUGCUGGCAGGACACUACCAUGUAAGAGCUCA
This is a non-coding RNA of Equus caballus (horse), 1057 nucleotides long. Lineage: Eukaryota; Metazoa; Chordata; Mammalia; Perissodactyla; Equidae. The record is from RefSeq and is a predicted model, not a curated record.